AGUGAACGCUGGCGGCAGGCCUAACACAUGCAAGUCGAGCGGCAGCGCGUCCGACCACCCUCGGGUGGUCGGAUGGCGGCGAGCGGCGGACGGGUGAGGAAUGCAUCGGAAUCUGCCUCGUUGUGGGGGAUAACGUAGGGAAACUUACGCUAAAUACCGCAUACGACCUACGGGUGAAAGUGGGGGACCUUCGGGCCUCACGCGAUGAGAUGAGCCGAUGCCGGAUUAGCUAGUUGGCGGGUAAAGGCCCACCAAGGCGACGAUCCGUAGCUGGUCUGAGAGGAUGAUCAGCCACACUGGAACUGAGACACGGUCCAGACUCCUACGGGAGGCAGCAGUGGGGAAUAUUGGACAAUGGGGGCAACCCUGAUCCAGCCAUGCCGCGUGUGUGAAGAAGGCCUUCGGUGUAAGACGACUUUGUUGGGUAGAACCGG
Molecule: ribosomal RNA, 434 nt
Filed under: uncultured bacterium
Lineage: Bacteria
Description: bacterial SSU rRNA
Rfam family: Bacterial small subunit ribosomal RNA
Source: RNAcentral